UCUGCUAGCUACCAGAAGUUCUACUUGACCGUUUAUUUUAUUUGAAAUUUUUUUAUUAGUAGUAUUUUUAUUGCUAUUAGAUGAUAAAAUAUAAAUAGUACUUUAUGUAUGACUAAAUAUUUUUAAAUUUUUCGCAAAUUUUUCAAAUAAGACGGACGGUCAAACGUUGGGCACGGACAUCCACGACUAUACUUAUU
Oryza glumipatula is the source of this 197-nucleotide non-coding RNA. The record is from Rfam. Lineage: Eukaryota; Viridiplantae; Streptophyta; Magnoliopsida; Poales; Poaceae.